RNAcentral lists this ribosomal RNA (497 nucleotides) under uncultured bacterium. RNAcentral describes it as "partial 16S ribosomal RNA". It matches the Rfam family "Bacterial small subunit ribosomal RNA", at positions 28 to 507 of the family's 1533-position model. The record is from RNAcentral.
GAUGAACGCUGGCGGCGUGCCUAAUACAUGCAAGUCGAGCGAACGGACGAGAAGCUUGCUUCUCUGAUGUUAGCGGCGGACGGGUGAGUAACACGUGGAUAACCUACCUAUAAGACUGGGAUAACUUCGGGAAACCGGAGCUAAUACCGGAUGAUAUUUUGAACCGCAUGGUUCAAAAGUGAAAGACGGUCUUGCUGUCACUUAUAGAUGGAUCCGCGCUGCAUUAGCUAGUUGGUAUGGUAACGGCUUACCAAGGCAACGAUGCAUAGCCGACCUGAGAGGGUGAUCGGCCACACUGGAACUGAGACACGGUCCAGACUCCUACGGGAGGCAGCAGUAGGGAAUCUGCCGCAAUGGGCGAAAGCCUGACGGAGCAACGCCGCGUGAGUGAUGAAGGUCUUCGGAUCGUAAAACUCUGUUAUUAGGGAAGAACAUAUGUGUAAGUAACUGUGCACAUCUUGACGGUACCUAAUCAGAAAGCCACGGCUAACUACGUG